Acromyrmex echinatior (Panamanian leafcutter ant) is the source of this 1447-nucleotide long non-coding RNA. Lineage: Eukaryota; Metazoa; Arthropoda; Insecta; Hymenoptera; Formicidae. The record is from RefSeq and is a predicted model, not a curated record.
UUCGUAUAUCGUCAUGGAUAUAGGACGUGUGGCCGUUUUGUUUGGCAAAAGCAAACUAUUCCCCGAGGAGCCCAUUUCCGUCAGGCGUGCGGAUCGAGAAUAGAUCAACGGAGGGAAUUGGAACGGUGCGUCGAGCAGUAUUUCAGAAGUAGCCUCCUCGUCAGUCAAGCUUUGAUCCCCCGAAUGGCAGGGACUCCACUUUUUCCGUAUAACUCGAAACGAUCGUAUCGUAGAUAAGCUAACAUCGACCGGCUGAAUUUGAUCAGUUUGGCAGCAAUCAACGAUAUCGUUAUGACACGAUUACAAUGUCCUACAUAAUUCCAAGUUACAUAAAAGGGGUUUAUGAUUGCGAUAAACAUAUGCGGUAGCGAUAGAUUGUUGUCGAAACGUAUUGUGCGACAGGAUUCGUCAUCGCGCUAAUAAUAAACGUCCGUGGCUUCGCGCCACACCGUGAGAAUGAAACCCGGACUAGGCUACAUUUAGUGCCACAUCACAAUCGGCGUCAACAUUAUCUUACGUAUGCGGAAUGCGGUAACCUUGAUCGACCGACCACAUUUUUGACGGUCUCGUAGAUUAUAUGAGGAGAAAUCCGGAUACGCCUCUGCUUAAUUUCCGCUCGCUGCUGAACGUUUGUUUUUGCGCGUAACAAACACGCACGAUUACAGCACUUAAUUCGCAUUACACAUAUCUGACGUUUCUCUGUAAACUUGCGAUACAGCUGAAAAUAGACGGUGCGAUCGAUAUAAAGAAUAUAAAGAGAAAACAUCCAACAUCUUUUCUCGAAGAAAAGUUAACGCUUAAAUUGGAAAAACAAAAUCUAAUUUUCAAUUUCCAAAAGAAUAAAACAACGGUAAUAAAACAUCUUAACGCGAUCUAAAGAAUUAAACGUGAUAAAAAAAAUAAUUAUUUUAUUUUCUCGUGUAACAACUGUGAGGAAUUUAUACGCAUUUUCGGAUGGAGCACGCUCGAACUUCUCCAAGACCAGAAAAUUACACAUUUAUUCACGUUCGGUUUCGUGUUCGGUACCGGCCCACAAUUACCGUAUGUAAUUCAAUCGUGAGGAUCAGCUUAAUGCAAGUAGGACGAGGACGAGUUUAAGCCGGAAAUCUCGCAAUAAUAUGCAGACGUUUCCGCGGGAUGAUGUACAAAGAAAUUCGUCGGUCUUCAAAGUGACUGCCUCUUUUUUCUCCUCUCGAUGAGAUAAACAGCUGCAGAAAAGGAGCGACGAAUGUGGACUGGCAAGGGCCAACACUUCAACCGCCGGAUCAUUACCGAACUCAUCGGAAAUUGAUUAUGCGGAACACACACGAGCGCCGAGAGAGCGCUGUAUCAGGAAUAACCUUACAAUAAUUAACGAAAGGUGAGGUGAUCUGUUGCAGAUAUUUACUUUAAGAAUGCAGUUUUUUAAUGAAAAUUAUACUGUACGUAUAAAAUACAAUGAUUAUGA